Pelobates cultripes (western spadefoot toad) is the source of this 1090-nucleotide non-coding RNA. NCBI's taxonomy places the organism in Eukaryota, Metazoa, Chordata, Amphibia, Anura, Pelobatidae. The record is from the annotation of a GenBank genome assembly.
AUCCUCCCCACAGCCCAUCCAUAUAUCUCAUCCCCACCACCCAUUCAUGUGUCUCAUUACCACCCCCCAGCAUAUCCAUGUGCUGCGGCUGUGCACUGGCCUUGAAGUUAUGCCGGCCCAAUGUUGCAGAGGCAUACAGGCCGGCCAGGCCCCCUGUAGUGACGGGUCCGCUCCGACCACUGUGUCUGUGGUAGUAACACCACUAAUCAAAGUGUUAAAUGUUAAUCAGAAGGAGCAAAUAAUUUAAAUAGAUCUGGCAAAUGGAGACUAAUAAAGUUGUAGGGUGUAAGAACAUAUCUCUCUGCAACCGUAUGAUCUGCCCAGUAUGCGAGAACAUUCACAUAGAUCUGCGCAUGCCUCAGAGAUGCAGUGUUUGCUACUAACUCCACUGCUACAAGGACAACUGGUGUGUACUAUGUACCCCAUGACGACUUCAAACGUAAGACUCAUGUUGACUUAAAGCUUUAGCAGGGUUACAGUUUUGGUAAUAGGCAUAGGCGUGCGCAGCCUAUUGCAUUAGGGUGUGCACCCUAAAGCACAAACACACGCCACGCGCGUGUGUGUGUAUAUAUCUAUCUAUAUAUAUAUAUACACACACACACUGCUGUGUGUGCUGUUAUUGUGAUGUGUGUGUGAGGGUGCGUGUUUGUGACUGUGCUGUUUGUGUGUGUAUGUUUGUCCUGUGAGGGUGCUGUUUGUGAGGGUGCUGUUAGUGUGCUGUGUGUGAGGGUGUUGUGUUUUUUUUUAAAGGUGCUGUGUGUGUUUGUGAGGGUGCGGUUAGUGUACUGUGUGUGUGUGAGCUGUAUGUGUGUAGGUGCUGUAUGUGUGUGUGCUGUAUGUUUGGAGGGAUUUGGCAGAUUAGUAAAUCCUUGCUGCCAUGUGCCAUCCCUGGUGGUCUAGUGGAGAGUGAACUCUAGCCUGCGGGGCUAGAGUUAACUCUCGCGAGAUCUGAGCGUUGCCGCAGCAACGCUCAGAUAUCGCGAGAGGAACCUGGCGGAGCUUCUGUCUAGAGCUGCCUGGGUCCUCUACUGCCUCCCUCCAUGCUGCUGUGGGCCGGUGAGGUAGAUCUUUGGUCUCCCCGCCGGCCCAU